GCGUUUGUGGUGUAGUGGUAACAUGCCUGCCUUCCAUUAUUUGCCCUGAGGCGAGGAAGCAUGCGCUCCGGGUUCGAUUCCCGGCGGACGCA
Molecule: transfer RNA, 92 nt
Organism: Ceraceosorus bombacis
Lineage: Eukaryota; Fungi; Basidiomycota; Exobasidiomycetes; Ceraceosorales; Ceraceosoraceae
Rfam family: tRNA
About the family: Transfer RNA (tRNA) molecules are approximately 80 nucleotides in length. Their secondary structure includes four short double-helical elements and three loops (D, anti-codon, and T loops). Further hydrogen bonds mediate the characteristic L-shaped molecular structure. tRNAs have two regions of fundamental functional importance: the anti-codon, which is responsible for specific mRNA codon recognition, and the 3' end, to which the tRNAs corresponding amino acid is attached (by aminoacyl-tRNA synthetases). tRNAs cope with the degeneracy of the genetic code in two manners: having more than one tRNA (with a specific anti-codon) for a particular amino acid; and 'wobble' base-pairing, i.e. permitting non-standard base-pairing at the 3rd anti-codon position.
Source: Rfam